ACAAAAUUAAAAAUCUGUAAUUCAAAAUAUUCGUACGUGACCGUUGUAUUAUGUACUGUUGUUGGCCACAAUUUCUGAAAAGAUAUAUAAACUAAAUUUCAGCGAAAUUCGUCAUUAGUUUCUAGCUGGAGCCUCAGCAUAUAUGUCACGUAGUUCCCCGGAAUACUUGGCGCAGAAGUUAGUCCAGAAUCACGUUACGUUCUAAUGUGGUCCACAUCUCUUUAUAAUCACAGAUUCUACUGUCUGCUCCGAUUGCUUGUUACUUCUGAAACUAAUCAACGUUGAUGUCUUCCAAACAAUAUUAAAUUAAUACGGAAGUGUGUAAGAAUUAAACAAUGAGCACGAGCCGCCCACUCUUAUUCAAAAUACAUGGUUCUAAAACGGGCGAAAUCGAGCUACAACUAUACCUUUUUCCCAUAUAGCAAAUUCAAAAUUUCAUUUAUUUAUUAAAAUAAUAUUCAGUAAGAUCUUGAAAAUACUUUUAUUGGAUAUAGUAUGGAUUCAAAGAUUCAAAGAAAAAGUGUGGCCAUAGGCCAUAAGGACCUCAUAUUCGGUAUCUCGGACAUUAAAAAAUUAUAAUGCGGCUUGCAUAUAUUUGAGAUAAGCGAUGGCACACCUUCACAUGUAGGUUUGUAUGUUAGUAUUUGUAUAUUAUUUUCAUAUUACUCCGAAAUAUGAGAAGAUUACAACCACUUCGUUUUAAGUCAUAAAUUAAAUUUAUCCAUUAGUGCUUGAAUUUUACUUCCGCCGUUUUCCAAUAGAUGUCUCUAGGGUCAAGCACUGGUCGAUUAAAUCGAUUUUUUUUUAUAUCGAACUUGGACAUUUGUGUCAACAUUAACCCAACAAAAUAUUUGUAGAGAUCUGUUUGCAUCCCAAACUUAUUCUCAACUGAAAAUGUCACUUUUUGAGCCGAAUUUUCGACGAUGGCGGGAAAUUUCGCUGUUUUUCUUUAAUUCCAAGAAAAGUGCGGCUGAAGCUCUUCUACAUUUUAUUCAAAAAAAAAACGGCGGAAGCAAAGUUGCAGACCUAAUAUGUACCCGUAUAUUAUUAAGUAAACGCAUCUGCUGAAAUUUCCAAAUUGUAAUCUGAAAAUUUGGUUAUUUCAUGAUUGUCCUAAUACUGUUUUGAGGCAAUUAUGUCAAAAUUUAGAACAACAUUUAUAAAAUGCUCAUUGAAAAUCUGACAAUACUCCGAGAUAAGACUCAACUGAAAUCCAUAUACAUGUAUACAUUUAGAAAAAACUGCUUU
Zeugodacus cucurbitae (melon fly) is the source of this 1248-nucleotide long non-coding RNA. RefSeq lists it as uncharacterized. The record is from RefSeq and is a predicted model, not a curated record. Lineage: Eukaryota; Metazoa; Arthropoda; Insecta; Diptera; Tephritidae. The transcript has 2 exons.